UUGUCGAAAGGGCAAACUAUUCGAAAGGAUAGGGCGCAAAGCCGACGGCCUAAGGGUAAAGUAAGCCUAUGGCGGCGGGUUGCCGAA
This 87-nucleotide non-coding RNA is filed under the name Candidatus Dadabacteria. RNAcentral's name for it is "c-di-GMP sequence". It matches the Rfam family "c-di-GMP-I riboswitch aptamer". From Rfam's summary of the family: GEMM was predicted in a large-scale screen for bacterial structured RNA regulatory elements. The record is from RNAcentral. Lineage: Bacteria; Pseudomonadati; Thermodesulfobacteriota.